GCUAUUUCAAUCGUGAGCCAAUAGAAAACCAUCCUUUGCAUUUGGCGGCAGAGCUCAGGUUUAACCCUUAACCUUUUCGGGCUCUGGCUCGGGCUCGGAGAGAACAUCACUCCCCAGGUUCCUGACCAGCGGGGACGCUGAAAGAGCGACCUCAACAGUGGACGCCGAGGCCUACGGGAAACGUAGUCUUGACUCCUUCUGGCUCCCCGCGCGGCGCUCUGGGAAGGGGAUUCCGGGAUCCCUCUGCGCAUGUGCAGCCGUAGCCCCGCCUCCUCCCUCGUCUUCUCAGGACUCCGCGGGAGCCGUUAAGUACCUCAGUCUCCUCGGGAAGUGGAGGGCGCGCCCGGGGUGAGAGUGACGGGGAGCGCUGGGGGCGGGAGUUCUCGGGUCCCCGCCGUCCCCAGCGCCGUGUGUGCGCCCGGGCGGGACCUCGGCGGGGGGCGGCCGGUGGGGGACCUCGGGCUCCCGGGGCGCAGGUGCGGCGGAGCCAGUCAGGAGCGGGGACCGUGUGCCCGGCUCUCCUGAAGCCCGACCCCAGAAAAGCCCACGUCGGCGGCGGGAGGCCGGUUAAAACGCGGACGGGGCCCGAGUCUGCGGGGCAGCCGAGCUCCGGAGCCCGAAAGGCCCGGUCAGUCCCGGCUCUGUCACCUGUGAGCAGGGGCGACAGAAGGGCCUGGGUCAGCGUGCUCAUGUGGACGUGAGAUUGAUAGCGCCGUCUUACGGCGUCGUUUUGAGCCUUAGGUCCGAGUCAUCGUUGUACAGUAUUUAGAUGAGGGCCGGGUAGGAAGCCCUGCGUAAGGGACAGCUGCUGCCGUAGUUGGAAGUCAGUUUGUUGGUGUCGCUGGAUGGCCUGAUGUGCUCUCACGACCGCUUCCCCAGCGCCCAGGCUCAGAGGCUGCGCUGCUGUCAGACAUGUCCAUCACCACAUGUGACAUUAAUGACAUCAUCCUGACCUCGCAGGAUCCCAGAAUAAUGAUGCUUGAAGGAUUUUCCAAAGUCGUCUACUUUAAUUCUUGAAAACUUUAAAGACAUUGGACCUGAAAGUUUCAGUGACUUGUCCAGGGAAACCUGGUUUAUGACAGAGUUAGAAGGAAAACUGCAGUUCCCUCUCAGGUGUCACCAAAAGCAUCUUAUCAAAGGGGCCUUCUGAGGAAUACAUCCCAGCUGAAACGAACAAAAGUUCCUGCCUUCAAGCAUCCCAUCUCUUUUCUGUGAAUUGUCUGUACCAAGAGCUGAGCCACAGUUCUCUACACUCACCCAGGAGCCACAGAAAGUGAACAUCCUUCAGCUUCACCAUCGUCUCCACCCGUCAGGAAGGUACACUUCAAGCCCACCCUUCUCACCGACCCUCCCUUGACUGCAGCAGGUGUCUCUGUUCAGAAGAGUCUCUCCACAUGUUGUUGCAUCUCUGACAUUGCUUUUUGAUAGCAAGUCUGGUCCUGGCUGCACUAAGGUUCCUAGGACUCACAAUUGUGAAAACAUCCUUUAAAGUCUGAGCAAGAUAAAUUCCACCAAACAAAUGUCCAGGUGAGAAGGGGUUAUAAGAAUGACAUGUUGACUAUAUUCUUCAAAAAUGGCUUGUCAUAAAAAAGGAAGGCUUAGAAACUAAUCCAGAUUAUAGGAGACUAAAGACACGUGACAACUAAAUGCAGCAUUGUGAUUCUAGACUGAAUCCUAUAAUGGAGCUUUUAAAAAAAGCCACAAAGGACAUUACUCAGUAAACUGACAAAAAUGGAAUAUGAAUGGAAGAUUAGUUAAAAGUUUUAUGCCAAUGUUAAAUUUACUGAAGGAGAUAACAGUGCUGUAUGUUAGAGAAUAUUAUUUUUCUUAAGAAACACACAAUGAAAUAAUCAAGGAGAAAGUACAAGAUGCGCAAAAUGUGUUCUCAGGUAUUCAGGAAUGUAGGCAUAUUUUUUCACAUAUGUGUGUGUGUAUGUGUGUGUCUUCAGAUAGAGAGAGAAAGGCGAGGGAGGGAAGGAGACAGAAACAGAUGAAGACAGCGGAGAGAUGGGGAAAAUGGAUCAAAAUAUUGAUAGGUAAAUCUGGAUAAAGAGUAUAUAUAUGGUUGUUUACCAUCCGUGCAUCUUUUCCACAAGUUUAUUUUCAAAUAAAUACAUUUUUCAAAUGGACCAUUGGCCGUUGUCCUGAAUUUUACCUAACCUUUGAGAUUUCUGGUUUUGAUUCCUGGAUCUGCCACCACCACCAUAGCCAGACCCCCGUAGUGUUCAAU
Long non-coding RNA from Equus asinus (donkey), 2230 nucleotides. Lineage: Eukaryota; Metazoa; Chordata; Mammalia; Perissodactyla; Equidae. The record is from Ensembl.